Molecule: non-coding RNA, 46 nt
Organism: Trichobilharzia regenti
Lineage: Eukaryota; Metazoa; Platyhelminthes; Trematoda; Strigeidida; Schistosomatidae
Source: Rfam
GUACUGAUGAAGAGUCCCAAAGAAGGACGAAACAGCUGUCCAGUAC